Molecule: ribosomal RNA, 465 nt
Filed under: uncultured bacterium
Lineage: Bacteria
Description: partial 16S ribosomal RNA
Rfam family: Bacterial small subunit ribosomal RNA
Source: RNAcentral
GAUGAACGCUGGCGGCGUGCUUAACACAUGCAAGUCGAACGGAAACGCCCAAGCUUGCUUCGGUACUCGAUUGGCGAACGGGUGAGUAACACGUGUGCGAUCUGCCCUGCACUUCGGGAUAAGCCUAGGAAACUGGGUCUAAUACCGGAUAGGACCACACUUUGGGUGGUGUGCUGGAAAGCUUUGCGGGUUGGGCUGGUGGCUGGGCCUAUCAGCUUGUUGGUGGUGGAAUGGCAUACGAAGGCGGCGACCGGUAGCCGGCACUGGAGGGGGUACGGCGACAAUGGUACUGAGAGACGGCGCAGACGCGUACGGGAGACAGCAGGGGGGAAUAUUGCACAAUGGGAGCGAGCCUGAGGAAGCGACGUCGCGUGGGGGAAGACGGCCUUUUGGUUGAAAACUGCUUUCGGUAGAGACGAAGCGGAAGUGACGGUACCUGGAGAAGAAGCACCGGCUAACUACGUG